Molecule: non-coding RNA, 629 nt
Organism: Hydra vulgaris (swiftwater hydra)
Lineage: Eukaryota; Metazoa; Cnidaria; Hydrozoa; Anthoathecata; Hydridae
Source: RefSeq, a predicted model, not a curated record
AUAUUUUAUGGACAUCCCCUAACGAUAAACUUUGUUAGCAAAUCAGUUUAUAAAAAUUGAUAAAAACAGUUUUCAAAUUUGCAUAAAUAACUGCUGAUUUUUUUUAGAUAAUAAAAUAGUCAUUGGCUUCACUAUUUCUGACUGAUUACUGGAAAACUACAUAAAGAGUGUUGAGUUUUUCAGGAAAAAAAGUUUUUUACCAUGCCUAAUUCUAGGAGUUAGGCAUGGAAAUUUAAGCAAAGUAUACGAAGACAUCGUUGAGAACAUCUUGUUCAUAUUCAGACACUAAUAAUAUAAGAACUCCAAACAGCAUUGAGAAAAAGUUUUAAUAUUUUUUGUUUAAAAUCAUAUUUCAGGUUUAACAUUUUCAUGAGCCAAAUCAGGUUUGGGCAAGCGGGGAUGAAAAAUCUAAUGAAAAGUCUCAACCAAAACCAACACACAAGAACAUGUGCAUACAUGGGAUUUCAGUGUCAUCGUUAUACGCUUUCUCAACUGCUAGGCAUGAGGUCAAUCGCCAGCGUGCAUCUUUGGCUCUUAAAACAGUGGGCUUGUAUUUUUUAACCGUAAUAGAGACUUGUGUAACCUGGAUUUUUGAAGUAAAAUAAAAUUUAGAAAAAAACAUAUCUAAA